Molecule: ribosomal RNA, 468 nt
Filed under: uncultured bacterium
Lineage: Bacteria
Description: partial 16S ribosomal RNA
Rfam family: Bacterial small subunit ribosomal RNA
Source: RNAcentral
GACGAACGCUGGCGGCGUGCUUAACACAUGCAAGUCGAACGGAAAGGCCCUGCUUUUGUGGGGUGCUCGAGUGGCGAACGGGUGAGUAACACGUGAGUAACCUGCCCUUGACUUUGGGAUAACUUCAGGAAACUGGGGCUACUACCGGAUAGGAGCUCCUGCUGCAUGGUGGGGGUUGGAAAGUUUCGGCGGUUGGGGAUGGACUCGCGGCUUAUCAGCUUGUUGGUGGGGUAGUGGCUUACCAAGGCUUUGACGGGUAGCCGGCCUGAGAGGGUGACCGGCCACAUUGGGACUGAGAUACGGCCCAGACUCCUACGGGAGGCAGGAGUGGGGAAUAUUGCACAAUGGGCGGAAGCCUGAUGCGGCAACGCCGCGUGCGGGAUGACGGCCUUCGGGUUGUAAACCGCUUUCGCCUGUGACGAAGCGUGAGUGACGGUAAUGGGUAAAGAAGCACCGGCUAACUACGUG